This 320-nucleotide ribosomal RNA is filed under the name uncultured eukaryote. Its description in RNAcentral is "partial 18S ribosomal RNA". It matches the Rfam family "Eukaryotic small subunit ribosomal RNA", at positions 1470 to 1796 of the family's 1831-position model. The record is from RNAcentral.
CCCUUAGAUGUUCUGGGCCGCACGCGCGCUACACUGAUGCAUGCAACGAGUUCUACCCUGAGCCGGAAGGCUUGGGUAAUCUGUGAACGUGCAUCGUGAUAGGGAUAGAUUAUUGCAAUUAUUAAUCUUGAACGAGGAAUUCCUAGUAAACGCAAGUCAUCAGCUUGCAUUGAUUACGUCCCUGCCCUUUGUACACACCGCCCGUCGCACCUACCGAUUGAAUGGUCCGGUGAAAUCUCGGGACGGCGGCUUGGUCGCUUGCGUCCGACUGCUGAAACUUGAUUAAACCAUAUCAUUUAGAGGAAGGUGAAGUCGUAACA